Alligator sinensis (Chinese alligator) is the source of this 4280-nucleotide RNA transcript. It is a transcript of the gene named ATPase H+ transporting V0 subunit e1, with no coding region annotated. The record is from RefSeq and is a predicted model, not a curated record. The transcript has 5 exons. NCBI's taxonomy places the organism in Eukaryota, Metazoa, Chordata, Crocodylia, Alligatoridae.
CGCCGUGGCACAGCUGCGGCGGCGGCACUGGGGAAGGAGGAAGGGGAGCUCGCGCAGCCAUGGCGUACGGCGGCCUGGCAGUGCCCAUCAUCGUCAUGAGCGUUUUCUGGGGGGUCGUCGGCGGCAUCCUGCCCUGGCUCGUGCCCAAGGGGCCCAACCGCGGGGUGAUCAACACGAUGCUGGUGACCUGCGCCGUUUGCUGCUACCUCUUUUGGCUGAUUGCGAUCCUGGCCCAGCUCAACCCUCUCUUCGGACCACAGUUAAACAAUGAAACUAUCUGGUAUCUUAAACAUCACUGGCCUUAAGGUCCUCUGUCUUCUGCCACAGCUGUUUGUGGAUUAGGUGUUAAAGGAAAAAUAGGAAAUGGAAAAUCCAGCUGAGGAGCUAGUUUCUCAUCAACUUGAGGCCCAUCUGCCUGUUCUGCAGGUAAAGAAGAGAUUUCCUCCAGAUGAAACACUCCAUUGAUCCAAAGAUGCCAUUAACAUAGCUGGUUGGAUACCACACCUACUUAAUGCCUUAAUAUUUGCCUUGCAUUCAAAAUGGCUUAUUUUUUUCCUACAUUACUACUUACACUAACAAUGUGCCUGUGAAGAUUUAUACCUCCUCUUCUCUGCUGUAAACUUUUGUGUGUUAAAUCUUUCCAUAACAGUGGAAAUUCAUUAAUUGUUCAUGGGAUAUGGAUUUGAUGGCAGUCCCUUGUUCACUUAUGAGCUCUAGGGAUCUUCCCCACACAGUAGAUGCAGUUCACAGCUAUGUUCCAUGUGACUGCAGUAGCAAUAAAACCCAAAAAAGUAUGCACUAAAACCAUAUGAGGAGAAUAAAAAUGUUGCCACAGGUUGAUGGCACUUUUUUUUUUUACAAAGGGUUGUAAUCUUAAGAGGCUUUGUCUUAAAUUUCUCAUUGUUGUACUUGAGAAUAAAACAAUCUGUGGCUUUAUAAGAAAUGUUAUUUUGAAGAUUGUAAGAGUGUUCUUACAGCUAACUUUCUGGUUCAACUUUCUACAGUGUUUAAGCUGGCAAGCUAUGCAAAAAGUUAAUCUUCUGAAAUUUCAGAGCUUCUGGUAUUCCUGUAUUAUCUAAUAUGACUAUUUCACCAUGGCAGCUUGAGUGUAAGUUCUUACCUGGUCUACUCCAGGACCUAGUUGUGUUCCAAAGUAGGAUUCUGAGUGAGAGCAGUUAACUUCUCUUUUCUUGUAGCAUUCAGGUCUUAAAAAUCUCUGUGGUUGGACUCUUACAGUGUAGCACAGAAUUAUCUGGCAACUUGGAGAGACUGGGAUUUAGCCUAACGAACCAUUGAGAAUGUAGGAAAUAAUUGUACUGAUAGUAAAAUGCCUUAAUUAUCCUACACCAAGUAAAGCAUAUAGCUAGGAUUAAGCCACUUUAUGAAUUGUGUGCCUUGGAAAUGUUUGAUCUAUGAAAGAUGCUUGAGGAAGUGAGCUCCAGAGCUAUUGAUCCCACCCCAGAGGGGACCUUUUGUUGCCUGUGGAUUCAGUAGCGUAUACAAGAUUACUUCCUUUACCAGAGUGUAAAGGAAGAUCCCAUGACUAGGUUAACCUGUCCCAGGCCCUCUAGGGCAGAGAUGUCAAAAGAUGCAGCCCACUGAAUCCUAUCAUUUGACCCACACUGCUGUCUGUGGGUCUUGGACCAGCCAUGCACACUGGAUCUGGUGUUCAGGGCCAGUCUGUGGGCCUGAUUUGGCACCUGGAUCAGCCCUCUGCUAUUUGUCUGGCCUGUGCAGUGUGAUAAUUUUGACAACCUGUUCUAGGGUAUUGAUAUCAAACCAUGUGGACUGACCCAGGACAGGGCAGAAAACGUAAGGAUUGCACAUUAUACCAAACAGUGCUUCUUCAUAGUUUUCCAGAGUGUUUUGACUCCAGGUAGAGUGCAUGACCCUUUGGGUCAGAGAUGAAAGACAGGGGUAAGUAGUGAGGGCCCUGAAGAUCAGCCAGGACUCCCCACAGGGACUGCUUCAAUAACACUGAUGCUGCAAAUACAGGGUGGCAAGUACCCAGUUAGGCUGUGGUCCAAAAUACCUAGUUUGUGUCUCCACAAAUUUGUCCUUCCUAUUGAAUUGCUUCUAGGGUCAACUUAAUCACUCCUGAAACUCAGCGUAACUCUGGCUCUAUCUCCAUUAUAUAUAGAAGGCCUAAACAGAGCUGGUUACAGUUAUUCAAAAGGAGAAACAAAGGUGGUAUUUUGCCUCAUCACAGAAAGUGUGCCUUUGUUGCCCCAAGAAACAAGGCUAGGCCACUGCAUAAAGAGGCGACAUCCUAAGCAUAACAUAGGAUACAGUGGAAAAUAUACAGAAAUAAGAGCUUUUACAAAAUUAUGAAUGAGGGAAGUGGUGGGUUGGUGAGCUGGACUAGGAGAUAAUGGUUCUUUUUUGGGUAAACAAUGUUCCUUUGCUACCUCAGAAAGGACUAUUCAACUUGGUUCACUUCAUGCAAAUACUUGAGGCGUACACAAAACAGUAUGCGUAGGUGUUACAAGUGGAAAUGCUCUGUUUUCCGAACAGUGCUAACCAAGGUUCAAACCAGUUAUAAUAGCCAUGACUAAUAACUGAUUGAUGCAUGUUGUACAAAAUAUAACUUACGGAUUUAAGGAUUUAUCUGAAAUUUGGUGCAUGUUAAAGUGAAAGAUUUAGCCAGUGAGCAGUGAGGUUGGUUUCAUCCUGAACUUUCUUUUUAAUUUUGAAUUUGUUCUCAUUGUGCCACAACACUGUAGAACAAUGGUUGGCAAUGUUAACUCAGCCCCUGCUGCAGAACAGAUCUCCAAGGGAAGGUUCAUAAGUAGGACUGGAAGGGACCUCACAAGGUAGGAUCAUCCCUGGUUCCAACCCAGCCACGACUUUCCUCCACUGCCUAGGUAAAGCCCUUUGCCACUGAAACGCUGCAGUCUGUAGGUUGCUGAUUCCUGCCUUAGUCUCUUUGACAAUGUAGGUACCCAUAGUUGCAAAAAUCUAGUCAUCUAUGACUUGCAGAUAUAGGAAAACAGAUGUGGGGUGUACAAAGCAAUUAUCUGAGCAAAUUAGACUUCUAGCUAUUUAAUUUGUACACACAGCUCAGAUUAUGCAAGUGCAAGGAAUGAUGUUAUGCCCCCACCUUCCUACAAAACUGAAGAGAAGAAAAUCUUUGAAGAUAGCCACCUCCUUGCUUUGUUCAUCUGCAUAAAACUACUACUGUACUGUGGUUUCAGGGCAAGUUGUACCACUGACCCUGUUCAAAGUGACACCUUUCAAGCAAGAGGACCCAUGCCUGCCCUUCUCUCCAAGGUGAUUCUUAUAAUUUGUCCCACUUUCAAUUGGAUCUCCAGGUUUCAGCAUCUCUUACUGUCUGUGUUUAGGUGGAAGGUCUGCUGUGAUUAGCCUUGGCAACAUGCUUCCUUUGGGAUUUGUAUCAAGGAUCCAGGUAUAGAUCUGAAAGGGAUUCACUUCUCUCUACUCUGACUUUGGAAGAUGUUUCUUUUUAAAACCAGACAGCCCAGUUGUUCUUUGUAUUCACAAGUUGCCCACCAUUCUGUUGCCAUUAGCCAAGAGGUUAUGCCCAAAACGAUACAGAAAUGAGACUUUGGGCAGCUACUGUUUGUUAAGCAGCAGUGAUUGAGGCUGUCUACUUCAGUUUCCUACAUCUAUGCAAAAAAUCUGUUAAGAAUAGUGUGAAGUCUUUGCACCCAUGUAGCAGAUGGCAUGAUAUUAAUCAAACAGACUAAUCAGAUAGCCCCAUACUAUGCAUAAAAAUAAUACAGGUAUGUCUCAACAUUCUUGGAAUAGUUUUCUGAAAACUGUUUUGGGCAGAAAAAAAUUAGUUUGCUAAGUUGAUGCUUAAGAUAAAGAGAAAUUUGUGACACUGGUAUGUAUAAUUUUUGCAGCUCAUGCAAGUGAACUCUGGAUCUUUCUCUGCAUCGGGGUCCUCAGAAGUGAGAUUCGUCCCAUGAGCUCUAUUCUGUCUCUCUUAUACUUUUACAUGGACAUGGUAUUUGAAGCCUAAAAUGUAAGCUUCAUUACAAGAAAUUACAAACUGCAUACAACUAUUUUUUUUCUUCUGUUGUUGAGUAUGAUAGUCUAAAUUAGACUGGUUAACCUUGGCUGUUUCUUCUCUGCAACUUCAUUUACAAAGCAGGUGUCUAUUAAAGACCCCCGAGGAUGUUUUAAAGACUGUUCUCUUUGAGCACUGAUUUUUAUUCUCUUUGAAUAUUGUUAGUAUGUCUAUACAUCUUGUCUGGCUAACUGAUGUUUUUACAGUAAGUUUUGAAAUUAAAAAUAAAAUUAUGCUUAAGAAAUAA